UCUAGUUCACCUCUUUGAUGUUGUUCUCAUUUGAUUAAUCUAGUUCUUGUCAGUUCUUCUUGAACUUCUUGUUAGAUCUCGAGUCUAUAUUUCUGUGUCUGUGAUAGUUUGUCGAGACUACACUCACCUCAGAUAUCAGAGCUAGUUUCUUCUUUGUUAGAGUGUGGAUUACUCCUCUGCUUGGAAGUGAACUAGCAUUUUAGAGGUUAUGGAUUACCCUCCUCUAAACUGAUACUUCUUUUGUUACAAUAUUGGAGUCUUAUUCUUCUUAGAGAGAGUGGA
Molecule: long non-coding RNA, 282 nt
Filed under: Physcomitrium patens
Lineage: Eukaryota; Viridiplantae; Streptophyta; Bryopsida; Funariales; Funariaceae
Description: long non-coding RNA (PPAT_LNC000280)
Source: RNAcentral